Molecule: long non-coding RNA, 328 nt
Filed under: Phoenix dactylifera (date palm)
Lineage: Eukaryota; Viridiplantae; Streptophyta; Magnoliopsida; Arecales; Arecaceae
Description: long non-coding RNA (PDAC_LNC015452)
Source: RNAcentral
ACCUGUAUGCCAUACAGUGUCUCCACACUCCUUGGUUUAAGAGGACAACCAACUAAAUGGCACACAACGACCUAUACUUGACAUAGCUAUCGUCCAAUUGACAGCUCGUCAUUUGGUCGCGAACUGGUUUAAGGACUAAAUGAUAAAACCUCUUUUAUCCACUAAAUUAGUCCUAAGGACUUCAUCACAAUACACAGGAGUUCAAUUUGAAGAUGCAACACUUGUGAUGAAUAGAAAAUUGCCAGAAUAAAUUUUUAUUCAUUUUAAUAAAACAUAUACAUAAUUCAAUUUCUUACAAUUAAAAAAUUGGCUUUGGGACACAAUUCCC